Suillus decipiens is the source of this 67-nucleotide non-coding RNA. The record is from the annotation of a GenBank genome assembly. NCBI's taxonomy places the organism in Eukaryota, Fungi, Basidiomycota, Agaricomycetes, Boletales, Suillaceae.
GGCCGGAUAGUCUAGUGGUUAAGACGUCCCUAAUGGAGUUGGGAAGUCCUAGGUCCUAGUCCUGCCC